This is a long non-coding RNA of Armigeres subalbatus, 945 nucleotides long. RefSeq lists it as uncharacterized. The record is from RefSeq and is a predicted model, not a curated record. Lineage: Eukaryota; Metazoa; Arthropoda; Insecta; Diptera; Culicidae. The transcript has 3 exons.
UACACGAAACAAAUUUGAUUUAUUUUGUAAAUAAUAUUUGAAUUCUUAAUUAUAAUUAAUUGUUUUUUUUUGCACCACAUCACAUGGAACGACUCAAGAACAGCAUAAUAUUUCAAGAACUACGCGCUUAAGACAAAAUUAAAGGUCCGCCUACAUCCAUGCAAUCGGUAGACACAACACCUGAGCCUCCAGAAGAUUCGUUACAUCUCUCGCGAGAAUUAAUUGAUUGCCCGCGAUCGAGAAUCAACCGAAUGUUGAAUUUGGUGGAGAACCUUUGGGGAUUGGGGAAAAGAACGAAGAAGCGUAACUUUAUGACUACUGGUGGGAGCGAGAAGUCAGCAACUAGAGCGCGAACAUGAAAUCCGAUUCGGAACUCUUCGCGAAAAGAUGACUGUGCCCUGACUAUUUAAUCUGAGGGCUCCAAAAUUCCAUUUCACUUUGCCUGGUUAGUUCAAACGUUUCUAAAGUUUUUCCCGUGAUCCGCGAUUUCUCAAAAGAUUAGCUAGUUUCCCCCAAGUGCCGAUUAUUCGUUAUAGUGUGAGCCAAGAAAAGUUAAGAAAGCCGUUCGACGGCUUUAUGUUUCGGAUACAGGCACCUCGUGAAACAACCGUCGUGAACAUCCACCAGGCAAGCCGCCGGCCCACAUCCAUCGGUGGCCGAAGGGGCCGCGCCGUUCAUAUCGCGCCCAACAUCAUCCCGCAUCUACGUCCACGUAAGUGAGUGAUCCCACCUGUGAACCUACGUAGUGCGAACCGUAACCGGGGCCGUUUUGAAUCCCCAAGCCGGUCUGCCGUCGAUAAGCUUAACAGCAUCGGCGGUCAAGUUUCAAGUCUUUGGACCACCACGUGAUCGGGAAUCAACUCACCAGCAAGACCGCUUAACGCUGUAGGUGAAUUGAUCAACGCGUUUCCUGCUUCUUUUCCCACGCCGGUGAACAAUAGCGGU